GCUAAGAUCCGAGCAGUCGGCGUAAUUUGACAUACAAAAGUUUUUCUAAAACAACUUCUUUAAUUUGUAUCCGAUCACAAAAAAUUUCUCAGGAAUCUAGCUUCAAAAUUUCGCUUGUUAUUCGAUUCUUGCUGAUCUGCGAAACCGUGGAAAAAGGUCUCUGAAAUCUAAGUUUUCAUACGGACUGAUAAAUACCCCUCUAACCUAUAGAUAGCGGGUAUAAACAUGUGCCACGCAUUUGAUUUUUAGCAAAGGAAAGUGUGUCAGUGUGUGUGUGGGCGAAAAGGGAAAAAUAAAUUUAUUUGCGUGUCAGGCUAAAAUGCGAAGCAUGGAAACAAUAAAAUGCCAAACAAGCAGAAUGAGUGGCAGCCAAAGAAGAGAAAUGGGAAAGGGAAAGGAACAGAGAGAAAGAGAGACAGCACUGUGUUCUGUUGUCCUAAGCAGCUGCAAUUAGUGUGGAGUGUUAUUUCUCCUGUUGAGGGUCUAAAAAGGCAUCGGAUAAGCUAAUAACUUAUGUAAAUGCUGCUGCUGUUGCUCUUGAAAAGAAAGAGAGCGCUGAACGCAGGCAAACACUUUAAGUACUUUAUGCCGUGAUUAAAAACGCAAUCAAACACAAACAAAUUACAUUAAGGAUUUAUUAAAGUGUUGCCCAAACAAAUUAAACGGCAGCGUAUCAAAUUUCAUCGUGCCAUUAAAUCC
Long non-coding RNA from Drosophila nasuta, 699 nucleotides. RefSeq lists it as uncharacterized. The record is from RefSeq and is a predicted model, not a curated record. Lineage: Eukaryota; Metazoa; Arthropoda; Insecta; Diptera; Drosophilidae. The transcript has 3 exons.